CAGCUGUGUUUCUCACUUGGGAUUCCUCAUGCAGUUACAGCCAGAUGGUGGUUGGGGCUGGAGUCAUCUUAAAGGAUUCUCACUCACAUCUGGUGGCGAGGGCUUCAGUUGGGGCUAUCAGCUGGAUCACUGGUGUCUUGACCUCUUCACACAAUGGUGACUGGGUUCUAAGGGGAUGGAUGUGUACCAGCAACACUUACCAAUGAGUACCUGACCGCUCUUCAUAGCAGAUCCACCUGGCAGCAGGCCAUGAACCACAAGCCUCUCUCCAUCACCCUGCUUUCCGGUUCUUCUCCAGCUCCACUUGGUCUGAUGAAUAAUUCCAACCAGCACUUCCAGAAGCUUGAGCUGCUCUUUGGCUUUGAUAACAGUUAGCUUUUUGGGGUUUACAUAAACAUUCACAUCUUUGUACCGCUGUUGGACAAUGACUCCUGUCUUCUGAUUGGACUGAUGCUUUAGAAUGGAUACUGGUCCAUUGUCAUUGCUAUUUUUUUUAUUGCAGCGCUUGGGUAAAAGUCUUUUCCUUCUUAAAAUUUUGGUAAACUGCUUGAGUUUGGGUUCAUACUUUUUUCUUUCUUUGUAAUCAUCUUCAAUGAUAAUCUCAUUUUCACUGAACCUGACAUGGUUCACAGUUGGUGUCUCAGGAAGGAGGCUUUCUUCUUCAUCCUCACUCAAUUCCAAAUAAAACAGCUCUCCAUUUUUCUGCACACUGUCCAGCCAUUCAGGCUCAAGAUCA
This 736-nucleotide long non-coding RNA is filed under the name Pan troglodytes (chimpanzee). RNAcentral's name for it is "long non-coding RNA NONPTRT013216". Lineage: Eukaryota; Metazoa; Chordata; Mammalia; Primates; Hominidae. The record is from RNAcentral.